UCAGACACGUCAGAGUUUGAUCCUGGCUCAGGAUGAACGCUGACGGCGUGCCUAACACAUGCAAGUCGAGCGAAACACUUAGGUCAGAUUCUUCGGAUGAAGACCUAUUUGAUUGAGCGGCGGACGGGUGAGUAACGCGUGGGUAACCUGCCUCAUACAGGGGGAUAGCAGUUGGAAACGACUGAUAAUACCGCAUUAAGCGCACAACAUCGCAUGAUGCAGUGUGAAAAACUCCGGUGGUAUGAGAUGGACCCGCGUCUGAUUAGCUAGUUGGUGGGGUAAAAGCCUACCAAGGCGACGAUCAGUAGCCGGCCUGAGAGGGUGAACGGCCACAUUGGGACUGAGACACGGCCCAA
This 356-nucleotide ribosomal RNA is filed under the name uncultured bacterium. RNAcentral's name for it is "bacterial SSU rRNA". It matches the Rfam family "Bacterial small subunit ribosomal RNA", at positions 1 to 334 of the family's 1533-position model. The record is from RNAcentral.